RNAcentral lists this transfer RNA (74 nucleotides) under Falsochrobactrum ovis. It matches the Rfam family "tRNA". From Rfam's summary of the family: Transfer RNA (tRNA) molecules are approximately 80 nucleotides in length. Their secondary structure includes four short double-helical elements and three loops (D, anti-codon, and T loops). Lineage: Bacteria; Pseudomonadati; Pseudomonadota; Alphaproteobacteria; Hyphomicrobiales; Brucellaceae. RNAcentral also lists the same sequence under 1 other name. The record is from Rfam by way of RNAcentral.
GGGCCCGUAGCUCAAUUGGUUAGAGCCGGCGGCUCAUAACCGCUUGGUUGGGGGUUCGAGUCCCUCCGGGCCCA